ACUCUUCAACCCGCCCUUUUCUUUGUGACUAGGGGUCGGUGCUUGGAUUUUGAGCUCCUGCUAUUAAGUUAGCUGGCUCGUAAUGCAUUAGCAUUUCAACUUUCGUAAUCGGAUUGACUUGGCGUAAUAGACUAUUCGCUGAGGACACUCGCAAGAGUGGCCGAGAUGAGAAAUUAAAGAAAAGCUUCCAACUCUUCUAGUCAUAAACUUUUAAG
RNAcentral lists this unclassified non-coding RNA (215 nucleotides) under uncultured Chrysozyma. RNAcentral describes it as "sequence contains ITS2". Lineage: Eukaryota; Fungi; Basidiomycota; Microbotryomycetes; Chrysozymaceae. The record is from RNAcentral.